RNAcentral lists this ribosomal RNA (501 nucleotides) under uncultured bacterium. RNAcentral's name for it is "partial 16S ribosomal RNA". It matches the Rfam family "Bacterial small subunit ribosomal RNA", at positions 30 to 523 of the family's 1533-position model. The record is from RNAcentral.
AUUGAACGCUGGCGGCAGGCUUAACACAUGCAAGUCGAGCGGAGAUGAGGUGCUUGCACCUUAUCUUAGCGGCGGACGGGUGAGUAAUGCUUAGGAAUCUGCCUAUUAGUGGGGGACAACAUUCCGAAAGGAAUGCUAAUACCGCAUACGUCCUACGGGAGAAAGCAGGGGAUCUUCGGACCUUGCGCUAAUAGAUGAGCCUAAGUCGGAUUAGCUAGUUGGUGGGGUAAAGGCCUACCAAGGCGACGAUCUGUAGCGGGUCUGAGAGGAUGCACCGCCACGCUGGGACUGGAGCACGGCCAGGACUCGGACGGGAGGGAGCAGGGGGGAAUAAUGGACAAUGGGGGAAACCCUCAUCCAGCCAUGCCGGGUGUGUGAAGAAGGCCUUAUGGUUGUAAAGCACUUUAAGCGAGGAGGAGGCUACUGAGACUAAUACUCUUGGAUAGUGGACGUUACUCGCAGAAUAAGCACCGGCUAACUCUGUGCCAGCCGCCGCCGUAA